ACGGGUGAGUAACACGUGAGCAACCUGCCCUUCGAGGGGGACAACAGCUGAAACGGCUGCUAAUACCGCAUGAUACAGUUUGGAGGCAUCUCCGGGCUGUCAAAGAUUUUAUCGCCGAAGGAUGGGCUCGCGUCUGAUUAGAUAGUUGUGGGUAACGGCCACCAAGCCGACGAUCAGUAGCCGGACUGAGAGGUUGAACGGCCACAUUGGGACUGAGAUACGGCCCAGACUCCUACGGGAGGCAGCAGUGGGGAAUAUUGGGCAAAUGGGGGCAACCCUGACCCAGCAACGCCGCGUGGAGGAAGAAGGCUUUCGGGUUGUAAACUCCUUUGACGAGGGACGAUAGUGACGGUACCUCGAAAACAAGCCACGGCUAACUACGUGCCAGCCGCGGC
Molecule: ribosomal RNA, 395 nt
Filed under: uncultured bacterium
Lineage: Bacteria
Description: bacterial SSU rRNA
Rfam family: Bacterial small subunit ribosomal RNA
Source: RNAcentral